Molecule: small RNA, 145 nt
Filed under: Flavobacterium segetis
Lineage: Bacteria; Pseudomonadati; Bacteroidota; Flavobacteriia; Flavobacteriales; Flavobacteriaceae
Description: Flavo-1 RNA
Rfam family: Flavo-1 RNA
Source: RNAcentral
UUCUAGCCCAGAUAGCAGUGAAAAGCUUUUUGAAAUCGUGUUGCAUUUUUUAUUGCACGAAAAGAGCGACUGCAAGAAGCUCCUUUUCUUGCUUAUAAAAAAUCAAAUCCGAUGAUAAAACUUGUAACGGAUAGCUGGAUUAGCU